Dialister succinatiphilus YIT 11850 is the source of this 175-nucleotide non-coding RNA. The record is from Rfam. Lineage: Bacteria; Bacillati; Bacillota; Negativicutes; Veillonellales; Veillonellaceae.
UCCACCGUGAGGUGGGGUCUGAAGGAAGCCGGAGGCAAAACCUUGGUCCGACGAAUAGAAACUUUAUACGAAGGCAGAGUCUGACAGGAUGAGGCAGCCACCUAUGCUGAAGUCCAACGAUGGUCUUGGCCAGGCUUUGUAAAUAAAGCGGAUAGAUGAGGUGAAAGAUUACACU